CGUAGGUGGCAAGCGUUGUCCGGAUUUACUGGGCGUAAAGGGCGUGCAGGCGGUCUGUUAAGUUCAGGGUGAAAGCUCCCGGCUCAACUGGGAGAGGUCCUUGGAUACUGGCAGACUUGAGGGAGGUAGAGGAGAGUGGAAUUCCCGGUGUAGUGGUGAUAUGCGUAGAUAUCGGGAGGAACACUAGUGGCGAAGGCGGCUCUCUGGGCCUUUCCUGACGCUGAGACGCGAAAGCGUGGGGAGCGAACCGGAUUAGAUACCCGGGUAGUCCACGCCGUAAACUAUGAACACUAGGUGUGGGGGGUAUCGACCCCCUCCGUGCCGAAGCUAACGCAAUAAGUGUUCCGCCUGGGGAGUACGGCCGCAAGGCUAA
RNAcentral lists this ribosomal RNA (373 nucleotides) under uncultured organism. Its description in RNAcentral is "bacterial SSU rRNA". It matches the Rfam family "Bacterial small subunit ribosomal RNA", at positions 526 to 897 of the family's 1533-position model. The record is from RNAcentral.